Molecule: long non-coding RNA, 1518 nt
Organism: Orcinus orca (killer whale)
Lineage: Eukaryota; Metazoa; Chordata; Mammalia; Artiodactyla; Delphinidae
Exons: 3
Source: RefSeq, a predicted model, not a curated record
AAAUGGAGGCCCAAAGGUAUUAACUAACUUGCUGGGUCAUAUAAUUAUUUAGUGGGAACCUAGAUCUCUACUCCAGGCCUUCUAGCUGUUAAAGUCACUCUAUUCCCAGGACUUAAGACUUGCUUUAAAGAACAGACCAUUAUAUGUUGAGAUUAUAAUAUUAUGGCACUGGGUGUAAUAAAUCAAAUUACUGGAAGAUACUGAAACGUUUCUAGGCAAAUCUUUUCCCCAAUGUUUGAUGUUGAGCAUUUACAUUUUCUUUUCCAUGAGGAGAAUUAAAUUUGGUAAGUCCCAUUAUCUAGCCAUGCUUUUAAAAUGAGAUGCCUUUUGCCAAAGUGAAGUCAUUGAAUUUUUUUCUAAAGAGAACUGCAGAGCAAAUGUUGCCAUUCCUUAGGGUGGCUGCUCUCAGUCCUAUGAUCUUGCUAGAGUCAUACCUGGUGGUCUCUAGAGAUUCUCAUGGGUGAAAGGAUGGUAAAACCUGCUUUUUCAAUUGAAUAAUUCUCUGCCAACCUAUACUGAAAACAAUUAAACCCUGCUUAGAUAUCAAAUUAUACAUCUUUCAAGUGUUUCUUUUCCAUUUGAAACCUUAGGGAAGGAAAAGUGGGUAGCUAAAGACUUAUGAUUUCUUUGCUUGAAAUUGUAGAUCUAAUCAUGUGUAAAUAGAAGGAAACUUUCAGAGUGAAUAAAACUAUUGUAUAUGAUUUUUAAAUUCCUAGGUUUUAAUUUUUUUAGCAUGAGAAAUGUCAAAAAUACUUAAUGAAGCAAGAAUAGGAUGGAAAUAGAAAUGCUAAAAUAGUGAAGAUUUUACCACUUUUGCUUUACUCAGUUGUUGUUUGCUUAUUUCUUUGUUAAAGUAUUUUAAAGAUCAUGGCUUUUGUUCACUUAACAACCUAUCUGGGUAACCAGUACAUAUCAGUUUAUAUAGAUGUUAUUCAUCGUUUUUCUGGCUGCACAGUACUCUUUCAUAGAGAUGUACCAUAAUUUAUUGUCUUCUAUGGUUGGGCAUUUUGCUUGUUUCUAAUGUUUUGCUAUUGGUGAUGAAAUUCAUGCACUUGGAGUACUGUAUUUUAAGAGGUGCAUAUGUCUUCUAGAUAAAUUCCUAGAAGGAUUCCUAGAAAGAUUCUAUAAGUUAUAUUGCUUGUUCAAAUGCAAAUGUCAUUUUGGGUAUUGCCAAAUUCCCCUCCAAUGUAUUUUCUGUUUGCCUUGCCAACAUAGUGAGUUGUCAAUUAUUUAAAUUUCUACCACUGUCAGGCAAGGAAUGACAUCACAAUAUCAUUUUCAUUCACAUUUCUUUUAUGAAUAAAGCAUUGGAUAUUCCAUAUGUUUAAGGAGAUAUUAUCUCCUACAUUAUCAUUUGUAUUUUAUUUCAUUUAUUAUUUUUUCUUUCUUUUCUUUUUUUUUUUAAACUUAUUUUGUAUUGGAGCACAGUUGAUUAACAAUGUUGUGUUAGUUUCAAGUGUACAGCAAAGUGAUUCAGUUAUACAUAUACAUGUAUCUAUUCCUUUUCAAAUUCUUUCA